UACGUAGGGGGCGAGCGUUGUCCGGAAUUACUGGGCGUAAAGGGUGCGUAGGCGGAAUGUCAAGUCAGAUGUGAAAUACCCGGGCUUAACCCGGGGGCUGCAUUUGAAACUGACAUCCUUGAGUGCAGGAGAGGCAAGUGGAAUUCCUAGUGUAGCGGUGAAAUGCGUAGAUAUUAGGAGGAACACCGGUGGCGAAGGCGACUUGCUGGACUGUAACUGACGCUGAGGCACGAAAGCGUGGGGAGCAAAC
Molecule: ribosomal RNA, 250 nt
Filed under: uncultured prokaryote
Description: partial 16S ribosomal RNA
Rfam family: Bacterial small subunit ribosomal RNA
Source: RNAcentral